AGGUACACUGAAGUUGGAGCACAACUGAACGAAUGUUGGAUUUCACCUGGCUGGACACGAGAACAAGUUACAAACUGUGUGAUUCCAUUUAUUUGACAUUCUUGAAAAGACAAAAGCAUAGCAACAGACAACAAAUCAUUGGUUGCCAGGGGCAGAAGAAGGAUGUGACUACAAAGGAGUCGCUCAAGGAGAUUUGGGGGGAGAAGGGAGGGACAAUUCUGUAUCC
This is a long non-coding RNA of Bubalus bubalis (water buffalo), 226 nucleotides long. RefSeq lists it as uncharacterized. The record is from RefSeq and is a predicted model, not a curated record. NCBI's taxonomy places the organism in Eukaryota, Metazoa, Chordata, Mammalia, Artiodactyla, Bovidae. The transcript is spliced from 2 exons.